RNAcentral lists this ribosomal RNA (423 nucleotides) under uncultured bacterium. RNAcentral's name for it is "bacterial SSU rRNA". It matches the Rfam family "Bacterial small subunit ribosomal RNA", at positions 207 to 622 of the family's 1533-position model. The record is from RNAcentral.
AAGACCUUGCGCUUUUGGGGCGGCCGAUGCCUGAUUAGCUUGUUGGUAAGGUAAAAGCUUACCAAGGCUUCGAUCAGUAGCUGGUCUGAGAGGACGACCAGCCACACUGGGACUGAGACACGGCCCAGACUCCUACGGGAGGCAGCAGUGGGGAAUUUUGGACAAUGGGGGCAACCCUGAUCCAGCCAUGCCGCGUGAGUGAAGAAGGCCUUCGGGUUGUAAAGCUCUUUCAGCCGGAACGAAACGGUUACGGUUAAUACCCGUGACUACUGACGGUACCGGAAGAAGAAGCACCGGCUAACUACGUGCCAGCAGCCGCGGUAAUACGUAGGGUGCGAGCGUUAAUCGGAAUUACUGGGCGUAAAGCGUGCGCAGGUGGUUUUGUAAGUCAGAUGUGAAAGCCCCGGGCUCAACCUGGGAACU